Molecule: ribosomal RNA, 253 nt
Filed under: uncultured bacterium
Lineage: Bacteria
Description: partial 16S ribosomal RNA
Rfam family: Bacterial small subunit ribosomal RNA
Source: RNAcentral
UACGUAGGGUCCGAGCGUUGUCCGGAGUUACUGGGCGUAAAGCGCGCGCAGGCGGCGGUGCUGGCCCGGCGUGAAAGCCCCCGGCUCAACCGGGGAGAGUCGUCGGGGACCGCACCGCUUGAGGGCGGUAGGGGCUGGUGGAAUGCCUGGUGUAGUGGUGAAAUGCGUAGAGAUCAGGCAGAACACCUGGGGGGAAGGCGGCCAGCUGGGCCGUCCCUGACGCUGAGGCGCGAAGGCGUGGGGAGCGAACGGG